CAGAUGCAGCUCUAGAAGCAAUGAUACGAGACAGUUUGGAAAGUUGGAUUAUGAUUGUAUGUAACAAGCCAAAUGAAGUAACGAUUACUGAUUAGCAAGGGUGGAGAAGCUCUGCUGUUCCAGCCUGGCAUUAAUCAUUCUACAAUAUUGGUCCUGUUAGAAGUGCCAAAUAUUGUUUGUGUAUAUGUUAUUUGAUGAUAUUCCUUGAGUGUUUGGGCUCGUGUUAAUAAAAUUAUGUCUGAUUGCCUGUCUUUGAUAGUGUCAUUUAGAUCAAAGUCUUGUUACCUCAAAUUUAGAGAUAAAACUUUGGUAGUAGGUUGUGUCACCCAAAGGGUAGACCUUUAAUCUGAAUAUCAUUUCAGUGCUGUCAUGGUGUGCUAGUUCCCAUAUUUGAUGAAGUUUAGGCUUCAGCUUCUGGACUCUUGUGGAGAACAUUUCGAUACUUCUUACAAAUAGACUUGUUUCAAACUCUUGUACAUGUACAUAUAAAUAAACACUAGCUUGUGUUAUGUUCUUCUGUAUUAUUCCAUACAUCUUAUCUUUGUCAUUGCGUUGCCCCAAAAAGAUCUGUGUUUCUUAUUGUCACAUGCCUACUUUAAAUACUACAUUAUACCAUAGGUCUAUUAAAAUUUGUAUAUGCAGAUGACAACAAAUUCUCUACAUGCGGGUACUUAUUUAAACUCGGCUUGAUUUAGGCGGAAAAAAUCUGUUUUGAUUAGGUGUGGGUUUUCUCUAACAUUGAAACUUGGAGGACAGAAACGGAUUUGGAACUGUUGAUAUCCAAUCAACAUCUGACAUUGUUACGUUAGUAAUAUUAUUGUCAUUUUAAAUUUUAUAUAAAUUUAAUAUAUUAAAUAUUUUUUAAAAUUAUAAUCUUUUCUUUAUAAAAAAUAUAAUUUUAAUAUUUUUAAUUUUAUAAAAAUUAAUAUGAUUUUUUAAUUUAUUAUUUUAUAUAUAUAUAAAUGAAUGCGAGUGCGAGAAAACUCGAAUUUUGUCGUAGACGAGGAUGGGAAUCAAAAUUUUACACUCGAUAGGAAAUGAGUUUUGAAUUUUAUAUAUAUUUAAUGUUUUUUAAAAUUAUAAUAUUCUUUUUAUAAAAAAUAUAAUUUUAUUAUUGUAUAAUAUUAACUAUUUUAAUGUAUUAUAAUUAAUAUUACUUUUAAAUUUAUUAUCUUAUAUAUAUAAAUGGAUGCGGGCGUAUGUAAAGAAAUUCGAAUUUUGUCGCAGACGAAAAUAAAAACCAAAAUUUCACACUAAGAAAUUGGUUGUUCCAUUCCGUUGCAAUGCCUAGUUGUAUAGUUUAAAAAAUAAAUUAACCUGCCUAACCCCUUCCAUAAAAAAAAGAAAAAUUAACUUGCUAUUGGCUAGUAGAUUUUUAUGCUACCUUCGAGUCAAUUUUAGUACUUUUUCUAUAAAAAAAAAAAAAAAUCGAAGUCUUUUAAAAAUUGAGAGAUUUUGGUUUUAUUCUUUCUAGAAUUUUUAGGUUAAUUUAUGAGAAACAAAAAAGUUUAUUGUGUUUAUUUUAAUAAGUUCAUAAGAUGAGAAGUGAUAAAAACAAUUCUUUUAAUAUUUUCAUUAUUUAUAAAAAUAUAGAUAAUUAAAGUAAUCCAAUUAAUUUUUUUAUGAAUAUCUAAAAACUAUUUUGAGAGUUUUUAAUUUAAAAAUCAAGCAAAAUAUUAAUAGAUGAUAGAAAUAUGUAGUCUAUGUGUGUAAAAUAGUUUUACAACCACGUUCAAUGAAAAUAAUGUAUUUUAUUAUGUUACUACACUCCUCAAUAUUAAUUGUAUGAGAUAGAAAAAUAGAUAAACUUUCAUCAAAUGUUAGUGAAAAAUUAAUUUAUAGUUACAGUAUAUAUUUAUUAGGUUUAGUUACAGUUUUAUUUUCUUAUUUUUAAUAAUUUAUGAAAUUAAUUUUUUUAUUUUAAAAAUUAAUAAUUUUGAUUUAUCUAUCUAAUUUUUUAAUUAAAAAAUAACAAUGUGAUAUGAUUUAAAUAACGUGUCAUAUGAUACAAUGAUAUAGAAUGAUUAAUGUUCAUAAAAUUGAAAUAAAAAUACCGUAAAAGUUUAACUUUAAACUUAAAAAAUCAUAUUUGCAAUUUAAUUACUAACAAAUGAAUAAUUAAUGUAUUUAUAUAAUUUUAUAUCAUGAAAUUGUAUCUCAUGUUAUUUAAAAUAUGUCAAAUUACUAUUUUUUUUUUAAUUUAAAAAUCUGAUAGAGGAGUCAAAACUGACCAUCUUUAAAAUAGAAUAAUCAAUUUUAUUAAUUAAUAAAAUUAAAGGAACCAAAACUACCAUUAAAUUUAUUUAUUAAAUGCAUAUUAAUCUAAAGAUACUAAUAUUAUUUUGAAACAAUUUCAUAAAAUAAUACUCUAUGUGUUGAUUCUCUUUUCACAAUUAUACAACAUUAAAUGCAUUCAUAUAAAACAUAACUGAAAUAUUAUUAUUUAAAUUUAAAUAAAAAAUUACAACUAAAAACAAUUUAAUUAAGGAUUUUGAUUGAAUUAAUGUAGUCCAAAAAGAUUUUCAAAUAAAAUUUUUAAUUUUAAUAUUACACACAUAAAUAAAUUUUUAUUUUUAUUUUUCUUAUGUCUUUAUUUUUUAUGUUUUUACGUUUUAUUCUAAAGUUCGUUACUUUUUAGUUGUAACUUUUUUCUCAAUUUUGAAAUAAUUGUAAUAAAAAUAAUAACAAUUUUAAAAUUUAAAAAACAUAUUCUAAUUUUUUUUAAUCAUUCAACCUAAAUAUAAAAAUGAAAAUUAAAUACAAUAAUAUAUAUUAAAUAAAAUAUCUUUUAGAAGUAUAUAUUUUUUAAUCAUUCAACUUCAAUAAUAGACAUUAAUUAAAUAUAUUUUUUUAAUCAUUCAACAUCUAUGUAAAAAUAUAUUCUCUAAUGAUAUAAAAAUGAAAAUAAAAUGUAAUAAUAGACAUUAAAUCAAUAUCUUUUAGAAAUUUUGAUAUUUAUUUACCUCAAUCAAACAAUUUCAGCAAAAUGAAGUAACGAUUACUGAUUAGCAAGGGUGGAGAAGCUCUGCUGUUCCAGCCUGGCAUUAAUCAUUCUACAAUAUUGGUCCUGUUAGAAGUGCCAAAUAUUGUUUGUGUAUAUGUUAUUUGAUGAUAUUCCUUGAGUGUUUGGGCUCGUGUUAAUAAAAUUAUGUCUGAUUGCCUGUCUUUGAUAGUGUCAUUUAGAUCAAAGUCUUGUUACCUCAAAUUUAGAGAUAAAACUUUGGUAGUAGGUUGUGUCACCCAAAGGGUAGACCUUUAAUCUGAAUAUCAUUUCAGUGCUGUCAUGGUGUGCUAGUUCCCAUAUUUGAUGAAGUUUAGGCUUCAGCUUCUGGACUCUUGUGGAGAAACAUUUCGAUACUUCUUACAAAUAGACUUGUUUCAAACUCUUGUACAUGUACAUAUAAAUAAACACUAGCUUGUGUUAUGUUCUUCUGUAUUAUUCCAUACAUCUUAUCUUUGUCAUUGCGUUGCCCCAAAAAGAUCUGUGUUUCUU
Molecule: long non-coding RNA, 3493 nt
Filed under: Cicer arietinum (chickpea)
Lineage: Eukaryota; Viridiplantae; Streptophyta; Magnoliopsida; Fabales; Fabaceae
Description: long non-coding RNA (CARI_LNC001606)
Source: RNAcentral